ACUGAAGCGACAAUAGCUCACCAUGUGAAUCUGCGUCAAGCCGAAUUGUGGUCUCACUUGCGCUAUUGGGCCGGGCCAAGUCCGUUGGAACACGGCAGCCGAGAGGGUGACACUCCCGUCCGCCCGGCCCUCUGAGCUUGUGUAUUCGAGUCGAGUUGUUUGGGAUUGCAGCUCUAAGCGGGUGGUAAAUUCCAUCGAAAGCUAAAUACUGGUGGGAGACCGAUAGCGUACAAGUACCGUGAGGGAAAGAUGCAAAGAAGCGCGAAAGCGCUGUUAAAGAGUACCUGAACUUGCUGAAACGGAAGCGAAGGAAACCAGUGCCAGCUGCGCCAUACUUCCCCAUCCGCUUGCGGUUGGGGCGCUGUGGCCAGCGUUGUCAUGCUUGGUUGGCGGGUGCGGAAGAGCUCGUGGGGAGUUGACCCUCGUUGCGUGCGCGCCGUCCGACCGAGCCUGACGAAAUGGUUUUCUUUUUCCCGUCUAGAAACACGGACCAAGGAGUCUAACAUAUGUGCGAGUACAGAGGUGGCAAACCUCCGUGCGCAAUGAAAGUGACAGUGGCUGGAAUUUUUGCACAGUCCGCCGGCCUCAAUCCCUCGGGAGAACGGUCUGAGUGUGAGCAUACAUGUUGGGACCCGAAAGAUGGUGAACUAUGCCUGAAUAGGGCGAAGCCAGGGGAAACUCUGGUGGAGGCUCGUAGGGAUUCUGACGUGCAAAUCGAUCUUCAAAUUUGGGUAUAGGG
Molecule: ribosomal RNA, 739 nt
Filed under: Amphora sp. ND 79
Lineage: Eukaryota; Bacillariophyta; Bacillariophyceae; Surirellales; Surirellaceae
Description: LSU rRNA
Rfam family: Eukaryotic large subunit ribosomal RNA
Source: RNAcentral